UACGUAGGGUGCAAGCGUUGUCCGGAAUUAUUGGGCGUAAAGAGCUCGUAGGCGGUUCGGCAAGUCGGAUGUGAAAUCUCCACGCUUAACGUGGAGGGGCCAUUCGAAACUGCCGUGACUCGAGUCCGGUAGGGGAGUGUGGAAUUCCCGGUGUAGCGGUGAAAUGCGCAGAUAUCAGGAGGAACACCAAUGGCGAAGGCAGCUCGCUGGGACGUGACUGACGCUGAGACGCGAAAGCGUGGGGAGCAAACAGG
This 254-nucleotide ribosomal RNA is filed under the name uncultured bacterium. RNAcentral describes it as "partial 16S ribosomal RNA". It matches the Rfam family "Bacterial small subunit ribosomal RNA", at positions 524 to 776 of the family's 1533-position model. The record is from RNAcentral.